This 800-nucleotide ribosomal RNA is filed under the name uncultured bacterium. RNAcentral's name for it is "bacterial SSU rRNA". It matches the Rfam family "Bacterial small subunit ribosomal RNA", at positions 59 to 885 of the family's 1533-position model. The record is from RNAcentral.
CAGUCGAGCGAUCUUCUUCGGAAGAGAGCGGCGGACGGGUGAGUAACGCGUGGGUAACCUGCCCUGUACACACGGAUAACAUACCGAAAGGUAUGCUAAUACGGGAUAACAUAAGAAAUUCGCAUGUUUUUCUUAUCAAAGCUCCGGCGGUACAGGAUGGACCCGCGUCUGAUUAGCUAGUUGGUGAGGUAACGGCUCACAAAGGCGACGAUCAGUAGCCGACCUGAGAGGGUGAUCGGCCACAUUGGAACUGAGACACGGUCCAAACUCCUGCGGGAGGCAGCAGUGGGGAAUAUUGCACAAUGGGCGAAAGCCUGAUGCAGCAACGCCGCGUGAGCGAUGAAGGCCUUCGGGUCGUAAAGCUCUGUCCUCAAGGAAGAUAAUGACGGUACUUGAGGAGGAAGCCCCGGCUAACUACGUGCCAGCAGCCGCGGUAAUACGUAGGGGGCUAGCGUUAUCCGGAUUUACUGGGCGUAAAGGGUGCGUAGGCGGUCUUUUAAGUCUGAUGUGAAAGCCUUCGGCUUGACCGGAGUAGUGCAUUGGAAACUGGGAGACUUGAGUGCAGAAGAGGAGAGUGGAACUCCAUGUGUAGCGGUGAAAUGCGUAGAUAUAUGGAAGAACACCAGUGGCGAAAGCGGCUCUCUGGUCUGUAACUGACGCUGAGGUUCGAAAGCGUGGGUAGCAAACAGGAUUAGAUACCCUGGUAGUCCACGCCGUAAACGAUGAAUGCUAAGUGUUGGAGGGUUUCCGCCCUUCAGUGCUGCGGCUAACGCAAUAAGCAUUCCGCCUGGGGAGUACGA